RNAcentral lists this ribosomal RNA (783 nucleotides) under uncultured Neocallimastigales. Its description in RNAcentral is "partial large subunit ribosomal RNA". It matches the Rfam family "Eukaryotic large subunit ribosomal RNA", at positions 24 to 634 of the family's 3401-position model. Lineage: Eukaryota; Fungi; Neocallimastigomycota; Neocallimastigomycetes; Neocallimastigales. The record is from RNAcentral.
UAUCUCUGUAGAGUCUGCAUAUCAAUAAGCGGAGGAAAAGAAACUAACAUAGGAUUCCCUCAGUAACGGCGAGUGAAGCGGGAAGAGCUCAAAUUUGAAAUCUUCAAGGUUUUACCUUGACGAAUUGUAGUUUAAAGAAGUGUUUUCUGUUGGUAGUUUUGGUAAAAGUUCUUUGGAAUAGGACAUCAUAGAGGGUGAGAAUCCCGUAUUUGACCAUUAUUUCCAGCUUUGUGAUACACUUUCAAAGAGUCGGAUUGUUUGGGAAUGCAGUCCAAAAUGGGUGGUAAAUUUCAUCUAAAGCUAAAUAUUGGCGAGAGACCGAUAGCGAACAAGUACCGUGAGGGAAAGAUGAAAAGAACUUUGAAAAGAGAGUUAAACAGUACGUGAAAUUGUCAAAAGGGAAGCGUUUGACACCAGUGUUGUUUUCUCGAAAAUCAAUUAAAAAAAGUUGGAUUUUGUAUUGUUAAGACCUUAUCAGCUUACUGUACUCUUUUCUUGCUUUUUUUAAUGCACUUUUCGUUUAACAAGUCAACAUCAAUUUCUUUUGUUGUAAAAGAGUCAUUGGAAGGUGGCUUUCACUUCGGUGAAAGUGUUUAUAGCCUUUGGCUUCUGCAAUCGGAGAGAUUGAGGUCUGCAGCGUAGAUCCUUCGGGGCUAGAUAACAGUUAGAUGCUAAGUUAUAGCAUUUUUAUAGACAACUUGUUGACUAUAAUUUAAUCAUUGUAGCUUACUCGCUUAUGGUUAUUCUACCUACGCUUAGGAUGUUGACGAUCAGCUGAGCGCG